GUGCUCGCUUCGGCAGCACAUAUACUAAAAUUGCACCAAUACAUACAAGAUUAGCAUGGCCCCUGCGCACGGAUGACACGCAAAUUAUGAAGCGUUCUAUAUUAAA
Molecule: small nuclear RNA, 106 nt
Organism: Myotis lucifugus (little brown bat)
Lineage: Eukaryota; Metazoa; Chordata; Mammalia; Chiroptera; Vespertilionidae
Source: Ensembl